Molecule: small nuclear RNA, 103 nt
Filed under: Numida meleagris (helmeted guineafowl)
Lineage: Eukaryota; Metazoa; Chordata; Aves; Galliformes; Numididae
Source: RNAcentral
AUGCUUCAGCAGCACAUAUACUAAAAUCUGAACGAAACAGAGAAGAUUAGCAUGGCCCCUGCACAAUGAUGACAUGCAAAUUUGUGAAGUGUUCCAUAUUUUU